UACGGGAGGCAGCGGUGGGGAAUAUUGCACAAUGGGCGAAAGCCUGAUGCAGCUAUGCCGCGUGUAUGAAGAAGGCCUUAGGGUUGUAAAGUACUUUCAUCGGGGAGGAAAAAACAAAACUAAUAAUUUUAUUUCUUGACGUUACCCGAAAAAGAAGCACCGGCUAACUCCGUGCCAGCAGCCGCGGUAAUACGGAGGGUGCUAGCGUUAAUCAGAAUUACUGGGCGUAAAGAGCACGUAGGUGGUUUUUUUAAGUCAGAUGUGAAAUCCCUGGGCUUAACCUGGAACUGCAUUUUGAAACUGAAAUACUAGAGUAUCGUAGAGGGAGGUAGAAUUCUAGGUGUAGCGGUGAAAUGCGUAGAUAUCUGGAGGAAUACCUGUGGCGAAAGCGGCCUCCUAAACGAAUACUGACACUGAGGUGCGAAAGCGUGGGGAGCAAACAGGGAUUAGAUACC
This 455-nucleotide ribosomal RNA is filed under the name uncultured bacterium. RNAcentral's name for it is "bacterial SSU rRNA". It matches the Rfam family "Bacterial small subunit ribosomal RNA", at positions 340 to 786 of the family's 1533-position model. The record is from RNAcentral.